RNAcentral lists this transfer RNA (78 nucleotides) under Camelus bactrianus (Bactrian camel). It matches the Rfam family "tRNA". From Rfam's summary of the family: Transfer RNA (tRNA) molecules are approximately 80 nucleotides in length. Lineage: Eukaryota; Metazoa; Chordata; Mammalia; Artiodactyla; Camelidae. RNAcentral also lists the same sequence under 1 other name. The record is from Rfam by way of RNAcentral.
GGGGGUGUAGGUCAGUGGUAGAGCAUGUGCUUAAUUUGAGCAUGGGAGAGGUCCUGGGCUCAAUCCCCAGUACCUCCA